This 694-nucleotide ribosomal RNA is filed under the name Escherichia coli. RNAcentral describes it as "partial 23S ribosomal RNA". It matches the Rfam family "Bacterial large subunit ribosomal RNA", at positions 2180 to 2868 of the family's 2925-position model. The record is from RNAcentral. Lineage: Bacteria; Pseudomonadati; Pseudomonadota; Gammaproteobacteria; Enterobacterales; Enterobacteriaceae.
AUGGAGCCGACCUUGAAAUACCACCCUUUAAUGUUUGAUGUUCUAACGUUGACCCGUAAUCCGGGUUGCGGACAGUGUCUGGUGGGUAGUUUGACUGGGGCGGUCUCCUCCUAAAGAGUAACGGAGGAGCACGAAGGUUGGCUAAUCCUGGUCGGACAUCAGGAGGUUAGUGCAAUGGCAUAAGCCAGCUUGACUGCGAGCGUGACGGCGCGAGCAGGUGCGAAAGCAGGUCAUAGUGAUCCGGUGGUUCUGAAUGGAAGGGCCAUCGCUCAACGGAUAAAAGGUACUCCGGGGAUAACAGGCUGAUACCGCCCAAGAGUUCAUAUCGACGGCGGUGUUUGGCACCUCGAUGUCGGCUCAUCACAUCCUGGGGCUGAAGUAGGUCCCAAGGGUAUGGCUGUUCGCCAUUUAAAGUGGUACGCGAGCUGGGUUUAGAACGUCGUGAGACAGUUCGGUCCCUAUCUGCCGUGGGCGCUGGAGAACUGAGGGGGGCUGCUCCUAGUACGAGAGGACCGGAGUGGACGCAUCACUGGUGUUCGGGUUGUCAUGCCAAUGGCACUGCCCGGUAGCUAAAUGCGGAAGAGAUAAGUGCUGAAAGCAUCUAAGCACGAAACUUGCCCCGAGAUGAGUUCUCCCUGACUCCUUGAGAGUCCUGAAGGAACGUUGAAGACGACGACGUUGAUAGGCCGGGUGU